This 253-nucleotide ribosomal RNA is filed under the name uncultured bacterium. Its description in RNAcentral is "partial 16S ribosomal RNA". It matches the Rfam family "Bacterial small subunit ribosomal RNA", at positions 524 to 776 of the family's 1533-position model. The record is from RNAcentral.
UACGGAGGAUGCAAGCGUUAUCCGGAAUGAUUGGGCGUAAAGCGUCCGCAGGUGGCGAUGUAAGUCUGCUGUUAAAGAGUGAGGCUCAACCUCAUAAGAGCAGUGGAAACUACAUAGCUAGAGUACGUUCGGGGCAGAGGGAAUUCCUGGUGUAGCGGUGAAAUGCGUAGAGAUCAGGAAGAACACCAGUGGCGAAGGCGCUCUGCUAGGCUGUAACUGACACUGAGGGACGAAAGCUAGGGGAGCGAAUGGG